AACGAACGCUGGCGGCAUGCCUAACACAUGCAAGUCGAACGAGACCUUCGGGUCUAGUUGCGCACGGGUGCGUAACGCGUGGGAACCUGCCCUUAGGUUCGGAAUAACUCCCCGAAAGGGGUGCUAAUACCGGAUAAUGUCUUCUGACCAAAGAUUUAUCGCCCUUGGAUGCGCCCGAGUUGGAUUAGCUAGUUGGUAGUGUAAAAGCCUACCAAGGCGACGAUCCAUAGCUGGUCUGAGAGGAUGAUCCGCCACACUGGGACUGGGACACGGCCCGGACUCCUACGGGAGGCAGCAGUGGGGAAUAUUGGACAAUGGGCGAAAGCCUGAUCCAGCAAUGCCGCGUGAGUGAUGAAGGCCUUAGGGUUGUAAAGCUCUUUUACCCGCGAUGAUAAUGACAGUACCGGGAGAAUAAGCUCCGGCUAACUCCGUG
This 433-nucleotide ribosomal RNA is filed under the name uncultured bacterium. Its description in RNAcentral is "partial 16S ribosomal RNA". It matches the Rfam family "Bacterial small subunit ribosomal RNA", at positions 29 to 507 of the family's 1533-position model. The record is from RNAcentral.